Molecule: ribosomal RNA, 149 nt
Organism: Conidiobolus coronatus NRRL 28638
Lineage: Eukaryota; Fungi; Entomophthoromycota; Entomophthoromycetes; Entomophthorales; Conidiobolaceae
Rfam family: 5.8S ribosomal RNA
About the family: 5.8S ribosomal RNA (5.8S rRNA) is a component of the large subunit of the eukaryotic ribosome. It is transcribed by RNA polymerase I as part of the 45S precursor that also contains 18S and 28S rRNA. Functionally, it is thought that 5.8S rRNA may be involved in ribosome translocation.
Source: Rfam
UGCUAAUAACCAUGAUCUCUUGGCACUGAUAUUGGUGAAGAGUGUUGAAAUCUGCGGUAAGUAGCGUGAGUUGCAUCUUUUGUGAAUCAUCAAAUCUUAACCCAAAUCGGACUAGUACCUUAAAUACUACCAUGUUUGGUUGAGUGAUA